AUGGCCUUGAUUGUCCACACGUCUGGAUAUCGCGGUUUCGAACCGCAAGAGGCCGUUUUUUGUUAUGUCGUCGUUUUUUUCGUUAGGAAAAAAAGCUUUUGCAAAUCACCCAAACUCCCACCAUUCAGGCCCUUUCCUUUUGCCCCUCAGCAAAAGGGGCGUCACGGGCUCAGCCAAUGGGAGGGGGCGAGGGGGAAGGAGGCCGAGGAGGAGGAGGAAGACGGAGGGGGAAAUGGCCACCGCCGCCUCGCCUCAGCUCAGGCCUGGUGUCUCUCUGUGAGGCAGGAAGGCGGCGGAUGGAGCCGGGAAUGGAGAGACCGAGAGAGACAGAGACACGCAGAGAUGGAGGCUGGUGCGGGGCCCGGCGGUGAGGAGGAAGAGGCCCAGGAUGUGAGGGGGUGUGGGCCAGGGUGGGAGAAAGAACUCUUGUCUGUGGGAGGCAAGUGUGAAUGUUGCAAUUGGUCACCUUUGAUUAGCAUUGAAUAGCCUUGCAGCUUCAAAGCCUGGCUGCUUCCUACCUGGGGGAAUCCUUUGUUGGGAGGUAUUAGCUGGCCCUGAUUGUUUCCUGUCUGGAAUUCCCAUUUUCUGGGUGUUGUUCUUUUACUGUCCUGAUUUUAGCUUUUCUGUAGCUAAAAAUGCAUAUAAAAUUGAUUCUAUAGGGAGGAUAAAUGAUUGGAUUUCAACUCCUACAGCUUAGCUUUCUCUGCCAAUAAUGGUACCAUACCAAACUAAAGCUCCCAAGAUUCUGUAGCAGUGAGCCAUCUUGGAUAUUGUAAGGGAUUUAUUAUUAUUAUUAUUAUUAUUAUUAUUAUUAUUAUUAUUAUUAUUAGACCUUGCUCCCAGGAAGGUGCCUUCGCUGUGGCUCCCAACUUAUCUAUCUCUACCUUUCCACAUAUUCUCCACAUUGUGUGUAUGUGUAUGUAUAUUAUAUAUAUAUGAGCCCCGAUGGCGAAGUGUGUUAAAGCACUGAGCUGCUGAACUUGCAGACCGAAAGGUCCCAGGUUCAAAUCCCAGGAGCAGAGUGAGUGCCCGCUGUUAGCUCCAGCUUCUGCCAACCUAGCAGCUUGAAAACAUGCCAAUGUGAGUAGAUCAAUAGGUACCGCUCUGGCGGGAAGGUAAUGGCACUCCAUGUAGUCAUGCCGGCCACAUGACCUUGGAGGUGUCUAUGGACAACACUGGCUCUUGGGCUUAGAAAUGGAGAUGAGCACCAACCCCCAGAGUCAGACAUGACUGAACUUAACGUCAAGGGAUACCUUUACCCUUACCUAUACACACACACACACACACAUAUGCAGGGACUAUAUAUAUAUAUAUAUACAGUAUAUAUCACACACACACCAAUUUAACAAAGUUUCAGCCACAAAAACAAAGUUUCUGAAGUAGAACAAUGACUUUCACAGUAAAGACAACCCAAUUUAACAGGAAAUAAGACUUUCAAACCAGGAACAGAUUUCUGCAAUUAUUAAAAAAUGGUUUAUUAUAAAAGCUAUGAAAAUUCGCCAAAAAUCAGAGGAUAAGGGAAAUGUUCCACAUUUUGGUGAGCUAUCAGUGUUAAAUAUGUUCUACCACUGUACCAAGUUGGAAGAAGAUCACUCAAAAAAUGAGGGCGGGAGAGUCCUGUAAAGUCCCCUCCCUCUGUGCUGUUUUUGGGAAUUGCGCAUGCGCGUCCGCCAUUAACGAAUUAAUUUAGAAAAUAAUGAAUUUUCGUUAAUUUUGAAUUUUUGGGGGGGCAAAAUUCGGAAAUGACAUCAGAAACGAAACGCUGGCGCCCCCUGCUUUUGAAACGAGUUUAGAAUCAAUUUUUUCAUGGAUCACUAAAGCCUAUUAGCUACUUACAGGGAUUUAAAAAAUAAAAAUCCUUUAUCUUUCUGUUUAUUCACAACAGUGAACAUGGGCAGGGAUGGGGGGUGGGGAUGUUAACUUUCUAUGGAUACAGACCUUAAAGAGAGACUCUGACUUAGAAAGUAUUUCUGGUACAAACAUGACCUUGCAUUGAUAUUUCCUCCUAAAUCCAAGUCAUUAAGGGUCAAACCUUUUUUCUUAAAGAUGAAUAAAGUUAGAGUAGUGCUUCCAUUACUUUCGUUGCCCAAAAAUUCUUUAGUUCCAUAAUGUGGUAAUCAGAGAACAGUGAAGUAUUUAAAUGAUGCAAGCCACGCGUGCUCAUUAAAUGUUUUAAACUGAGAUAAGUAAAGUUGAGUCUGAAAUAGAAACCAUAAUAAGGAACUGCGCACGUAAGUAUAAACUGUAUCACAUGGCUGAAAUGAUCAAGGGAUGGUUGCUCCACAUCAUGAAGCUGUGGAUCCUACAGAUCCCGGAACUAGUUCAAGGUCAGCCUUUGUGGUUUGUAUAAGCACUAUCCAGGCGUCAAACCAGUUCUAGAAUUUUCUUCUCUGCCAGUUUCACACUGACCUAAGUGCUUCGUGUGGAUGUGUCCUGUGUUAGACUAAAAUUACAAGUAUUUCCUUCUUUGUCCAAGCAUUACUUACUUUAGAGACCUAGGACAUUAUUUUGGAUGAACUGUCUGCCAAGUAUCCCAGAGACCUUUUGAAUGACACUGGGAAAGGGGGUUUUCUCGCUCAACUUUGUCAUCUGGGUUCUCAGUUCAGAAGCAGGGAGCAAGGUGGUGGAGUUGCAAUAGUCGCUUUAAGUUUAUUGAUGUUAAUUUGUAUUUUGAUUUAUGCACUUUCGUUGACUAUGGUAUUGAAAGUUUGCCUUUUUGUAUGUAAACCACUCAGAGUCCCCUCAGGAAGAGAGAGCGGUCUAUAAAUAAAGUGGGUUGUUGUAUGUCUUUCGGGCUGUGUGGUCAUGUUCCAGAAGUAUUCUCUCCUGAUGUUUCGCCCACAUCUAUGGCAGGCAUCCUCAGAGGUUGUGAGGUAUGGAUAAACUAAGUAAGGAAAGGAAAGAAUAUAUAUCUGUGUAGAGUCCAGGGUGUGGUAAGAGUCCUUUGUCACUGGGAGCCAGCAUUAAUGUUUCAGUUAAUCACCCUAAUUAGCAUUGGAAAUGUUUUGUCUCUUGCCCGGGGGCAUCCUUUGUUCAGUCAAGCCCUCAGAGUUUUGGUUCCCAUCUACUGUUUUGAUUUUGGAGUUUUGUAAUACUGGUAGCCAGAUUUUGUUCAUUUUCAUGGUUUCUUCCUUUCUGUUGAAGUUGUCCACAUGCUUCUGGAUUUCAAUGGCUUCUCUGUGUAGUCUGACAUGAUAGUUGUUGGAAUGGUCCAGCAUUUUUGUGUUCUCAAAUAAUAUCCUGUGUCCAGGCUGGUUCAUCAAAUGCUCUGCUAUAGCUGAUUUCUCUGGUUGAAUUAGUCUGCAGUGCCUUUCAUGUUCUUUGACUCUUGUUUGGGUGCUGCGUUUGGUGGUCCCUAUGUAGACUUGUCCACAGCUGCAUGGUAUCCAGUAGACUCCUGCAGAGGAGAGAGGAUCCCUCUUGUCCUUCGCUGACUGUAGCAUUUGUUGGAUUUUCUUUGUGGGUCUGUAGAUAGUUUGUAGGUUGUGCUUCUUCAUCAGUUUGCCUAUGCGGUCAGUGGUUCCCUUGAUGUAUGGUAAGAACACCUUUCCUCUGGGUGGAUCAUUGUCUUGACUCUCAUGGCUUGUUCUUGGCCUUGCAGCUCUUCUGAUGUCUGUGGUGGAUACUAUCUAUCUAUCCCUCUGACCAGGUGCCCUAUCCUACAGUUUUCUGGGUUCACGUUUUUCAUCUGAAGAUAGGUGACUGGAACAAAUUAAGAAUUCUGGUGGUGUACCAACCAUCCCACUGAUCAAUCAUCGUUCUUCCUGAGCUAGCCAGAGUGGUCCAAAGUUGGUAUUGGCCCUAUACCAGUCAAGAUGGUGACCAAAAGCAACACUGAAUCAGUUAUGGUCACCAUUUUUUGUCAGAUAGAUUUAUAUUUAUUAGAGGAUCACUAUCAGGGGUUCCAGUCUGCAGGAGGGAUGUUAAAUUUGCCCCUCUAUCUCUGAGUAGUUGUUCCUUAGAGCAUCAGUCAGCUAAAUUUGUUAAAGUUUAACUGAGAUAUAUGAUAAUGAACUGACAGCUUAUUUGAAAAUAUUUUGGCUUUAGUUUACCAGAAAAAAAAGGAACAAGCAGUGAACAAACUCAACAAGGGGGAGAAGAGGUGUAGAAUCUUGCUUUUCAUAAGACACUCAAUCAAAAGCAAAGUGCUAUAGUCCUUAAUUUAUCUGCUUCCCAUUAAUAACUUUUGCCAUCUU
RNAcentral lists this long non-coding RNA (4196 nucleotides) under Anolis carolinensis (green anole). Its description in RNAcentral is "lncRNA (ENSACAG00000043934.1)". Lineage: Eukaryota; Metazoa; Chordata; Lepidosauria; Squamata; Anolidae. The record is from RNAcentral.